UAAACUGUUGUAUUAUUAUUACUUACAAAUACGAGUAUUUGCUGGAGUUAGACAAAUUAGCUAUUCUCAUAGCCAUUUCUUUUGUGAAAGGAAAGCUCUACUAGAUAUUAUCAUGGUGAAGGCUCCAUGAUUUCCAAGGUAAAGCACAUAACCGCAGAGUAAUUCAUACCAUGUUGAGUCAGUACCAAUGCAACCGCUAGCUAUUCUAAUAUCACUCUACGUUACAAACUAAGCAGAGUAAGUCAUACCAUGUUGUGUCAGUACCGAUGCAACUGCUAGCUAUUCUGAUCUCACUCCAAGUUACAAACUAAGUAUAGAACUGAUGAAGAGGAGAUCAUACCCUGGUGAGAUGAGCCGGGGUAGCCUGCAGGAGGAUAUCCACCUUGAGGUGGGUAGCCACCUGGCUGAGGGUACCCAUAUUGUGGUGGGUAUGCCCCAGGUGGAGGAGGAUAUGCCCCUGGAGGAGGAGGAUACGCCCCUGGGGGAGGCGGGUAUGCUCCUGGUUGCGGUGGGUAGCCCUGCGGAGGGUAUCCCUGGUGGGGGUACCCAUGACCACCGGCAACGCCGUGCAUCAUGUUCGAGAAGAGCCCCUUGUCGCUCUCGUCAUGCUUGUCUUUCCCUCCUCCCAUUGACCCCGCAAGUUACCUGAAGAAAGAAC
RNAcentral lists this long non-coding RNA (658 nucleotides) under Zea mays. Its description in RNAcentral is "long non-coding RNA (ZMAY_LNC003643)". The record is from RNAcentral. Lineage: Eukaryota; Viridiplantae; Streptophyta; Magnoliopsida; Poales; Poaceae.